This is a long non-coding RNA of Salmo salar (Atlantic salmon), 943 nucleotides long. RefSeq lists it as uncharacterized. Lineage: Eukaryota; Metazoa; Chordata; Actinopteri; Salmoniformes; Salmonidae. The record is from RefSeq and is a predicted model, not a curated record.
UCGCCAGAUUGUCCCACACUAUAUAAAGCAACCGACGACGCCUUUUCAAUCUCUUCAGUUCAAGCUAAGUAGCAGCAAUGGUAGACCUCAAGUCAUACGAUCAUCCCAACCAAUCUGGCAAAUGCAGCACAGGUCAGUUAUCUUCUGAGCAAACCCUAGACGUGGAUGAUGAACAAAUGGAUAUGCAGAAGGAUUAAAAUGUCAGUCUACGGGGGAUUCAUAGGCUGAGAUGAGAAUGAAGUAGUGGACAUUCUGAUUGGAGGUGUACAACCUCUGAACAGACCAGUGGGAUUGAGAAUUAACCACUUGACAUUCUAAAGUUCUUGUGCCUAUUGGAGGUGUGAUGACCAUAUCAGCUUGGGAUUGAAUGGCUGGUAUGGAGGUACAGGUUUGCCUCCACACUGCAUUGAAAUGCACCAAUCCAGGUUCUGAUGGGUAUGGCUGUCCAUAGUUCUUGCAACUGGCUCUCUGGGUGAUGUGACCAGCACUAUUCCAUGGUUUUAAGGUCUUGGUACACCAACCAAGGUGGAUGAGGCCCCUAUUCUGUACACAGGUGUUUCUCUGGCUUGUCACUUAUUGCCUAUUGGUUGCAUCAGGACAUUCUUAGGAGACCUCUUACAGCAUUGUGUAGUCAUUGGUUGACCAACUGUUCAAUUGUGUGGGACUUUGUCUAUACCUGCAAAUGUCCUACAUUUCAUCAAAUCUUAUUAGAUUCCAGUUUAACUUGGACCAAGAGGACAGUUGACAAAUUACAAGUAAGGGCCAUAUACUGAAUCUAUGGUCAUUAUGUCAAACUUGAGGUGCUCAUGUGAGUUUUUGGACUGGCAAAACUAACAGUAAGCUGUCAUUCAGGGCAGAGCCCCACACUUUCAGUGAGAUAUUUUGCCACUAAUACAUGUCAUCAGUUUGUUUUAAAACAAUGUAAAUAAAGCUACAAACAUGG